UAGGGAAUCUUCCGCAAUGGACGCAAGUCUGACGGAGCAACGCCGCGUGAGUGAAGAAGGAUUUCGGUUCGUAAAACUCUGUUGUUAGAGAAGAACAGCGCAUAGAGUAACUGUUAUGCGUGUGACGGUAUCUAACCAGAAAGCCACGGCUAACUACGUGCCAGCAGCCGCGGUAAUACGUAGGUGGCAAGCGUUGUCCGGAUUUAUUGGGCGUAAAGCGAGCGCAGGCGGUCAAUUAAGUCUGAUGUGAAAGCCCCCGGCUCAACCGGGGAGGGUCAUUGGAAACUGGUUGACUUGAGUGCGGAAGAGGAGAGUGGAAUUCCAUGUGUAGCGGUGAAAUGCGUAGAUAUAUGGAGGAACACCAGUGGCGAAGGCGACUCUCUGGUAUGUAACUGACGCUGAGGCUCGAAAGCGUGGGGAGCAAACAGG
This 429-nucleotide ribosomal RNA is filed under the name Bacteroidota bacterium. Its description in RNAcentral is "Bacteroidetes bacterium partial 16S ribosomal RNA". It matches the Rfam family "Bacterial small subunit ribosomal RNA", at positions 355 to 776 of the family's 1533-position model. Lineage: Bacteria; Pseudomonadati; Bacteroidota. The record is from RNAcentral.